RNAcentral lists this transfer RNA (71 nucleotides) under Loxodonta africana (African savanna elephant). It matches the Rfam family "tRNA". Rfam says of the family: Transfer RNA (tRNA) molecules are approximately 80 nucleotides in length. Their secondary structure includes four short double-helical elements and three loops (D, anti-codon, and T loops). Further hydrogen bonds mediate the characteristic L-shaped molecular structure. tRNAs have two regions of fundamental functional importance: the anti-codon, which is responsible for specific mRNA codon recognition, and the 3' end, to which the tRNAs corresponding amino acid is attached (by aminoacyl-tRNA synthetases). tRNAs cope with the degeneracy of the genetic code in two manners: having more than one tRNA (with a specific anti-codon) for a particular amino acid; and 'wobble' base-pairing, i.e. permitting non-standard base-pairing at the 3rd anti-codon position. The record is from Rfam by way of RNAcentral. Lineage: Eukaryota; Metazoa; Chordata; Mammalia; Proboscidea; Elephantidae.
GCAUUGGUGGUUCAGUGGUAGAAUCCUCGCCUUCCAUGCAGGAGACCCGAGUUGAACUCCUGGCCAAUGUA